Molecule: ribosomal RNA, 544 nt
Filed under: Urocaridella arabianensis
Lineage: Eukaryota; Metazoa; Arthropoda; Malacostraca; Decapoda; Palaemonidae
Description: SSU rRNA
Rfam family: Eukaryotic small subunit ribosomal RNA
Source: RNAcentral
CAAUCGGGCCUCGGUCCGUCCACUUUAUCGUGACGACUCUGAAUAACUUUGUGCCGAGAGCACGGUCUCCGCACCGGCUCCGUAUCUUUCGAGUUUCUGCCUUAUCAUGCUGUGGAUUGUAGGCCAUGCGCCUACAGUGGCUGUUACGGGUGACGGAGAAUCAGGGUUCGAUUCCGGAGAGGGAGCCUGAGAAACGGCUACCACAUCCAAGGAAGGCAGCAGGCACGCAAAUUACCCAAUCCCAGCUCUGGGAGGUAGUGACGAAAAAUAACAAUGCGGGACUCUUCCGAGUCUGCGUAAUUGGAAUGAGCACACUUUAAAUCCUUUAGCGACAACCGAUUGGAGGGCAAGUCUGGUGCCAGCAGCCGCGGUAAUUCCAGCUCCAAUAGCGUAUAUAAAAGUUGUUGCGGUUAAAAAGCUCGUAGUUCGAGCUCAGUUCCGGACUGGCCGGGGAGGUCACCGCCCGGUGCUUCCCCGUCAGGCUCCGAACAGCUUCCGCCAGCGGAAGCCAAGCCGGUUCUGCCGGGGUGCUCUUCGCCGAGUG